Long non-coding RNA from Homo sapiens (human), 663 nucleotides. The record is from Ensembl. Lineage: Eukaryota; Metazoa; Chordata; Mammalia; Primates; Hominidae.
CUUCCAAAGAGCAUGUGUAAUUUAAAACUUUACUAAAAAACUGAAAGGUAACAAAUUGAAAACAAUGAUUACCUCUAAGAAAUGAAACGGAGAAAGGAGGGCUUUCUUUCAUGUUUUACUUGUUACAGUGUGGCCUAAACUUUUAACAAUACCCAUUUUACAUUUGUAUUAUUUGUGUUUAGUAGUAUAUUUUAAUAAAGGGGGCCACAAUAUACUAAAAAAUUAAAGACAUUGCUUGCACAACCUUUCCUCACCUGUGACCAGGCUAUCAGACUAGAUGACAUAUUUAGAGGUAAGAUUAAAGUUAUUACAAAAAUUGUUAAAAAAAAUUUUUUUUAAGUUCUCCCUAUGAGCUCAGUCUAAUAAAAUGUCUCAAGAAAAGCAUUUUACAAAAAAAUGCCCUUAAUGGGCAUAAUUUUAACAAUGCAAAUCACCUUUAAAAGACUGUGUGCCUGUAAUCCCAGCUAUUCUGGAGGCUGAGGCAGCAGGACUGCUUGGGCCCAAGUUUGAAAACAGCCUGGGCAACACAGGCUGUUAAAGAAAAGAAAGAAAAGAAAAGAAAUGGAAAAAAUGGAGAAAGGGGAAUGGGCAAGAGCAAGAAUGUGAAAGAACUGAGUCUUUACCUUGGUUAACUUGAAUAAAAUAAAAACUGUCUUGUAUGAA